AUGAUUGUUUGUGUUCACUUUUCCCCACAGGGUUACCUCUCCGUUGGUUUUGAUAAACGUUGAGUUUUUCUCAUUCGUCCGUUGACGUCUGGUCGAGUCUUCUCCUUCUCCGUUGGUGUCGAUAAACGUCGAGCUUCUCCCGUUCGUCUGUUGACGUCUGGUCGAGUCUUUCCCAUUCAUCCGUUGAUGUCUGGUCUCCUUCUCCGUUGGUGUCGAUAAAC
This 221-nucleotide long non-coding RNA is filed under the name Lathyrus oleraceus (garden pea). RNAcentral describes it as "Pisum sativum (pea) long non-coding RNA (PSAT_LNC036353)". Lineage: Eukaryota; Viridiplantae; Streptophyta; Magnoliopsida; Fabales; Fabaceae. The record is from RNAcentral.